This 468-nucleotide ribosomal RNA is filed under the name uncultured bacterium. RNAcentral's name for it is "partial 16S ribosomal RNA". It matches the Rfam family "Bacterial small subunit ribosomal RNA", at positions 28 to 507 of the family's 1533-position model. The record is from RNAcentral.
GACGAACGCUGGCGGCGUGCUUAACACAUGCAAGUCGAACGGAAAGGCCCUGCCUUUGUGGGGUGCUCGAGUGGCGAACGGGUGAGUAACACGUGAGUAACCUGCCCUUGACUUUGGGAUAACUUCAGGAAACUGGGGCUAAUACCGGAUAGGAGCUCCUGCUGCAUGGUGGGGGUUGGAAAGUUUCGGCGGUUGGGGAUGGACUCGCGGCUUAUCAGCUUGUUGGUGGGGUAGUGGCUUACCAAGGCUUUGACGGGUAGCCGGCCUGAGAGGGUGACCGGGCACAUUGGGACUGAGAUACGGCCCAGACUCCUACGGGAGGCAGCAGUGGGGAAUAUUGCACAAUGGGCGGAAGCCUGAUGCAGCAACGCCGCGUGCGGGAUGACGGCCUUCGGGUUGUAAACCGCUUUCGCCUGUGACGAAGCGUGAGUGACGGUAAUGGGUAAAGAAGCACCGGCUAACUACGUG